This 537-nucleotide unclassified non-coding RNA is filed under the name Candida albicans. RNAcentral's name for it is "sequence contains 18S rRNA gene, ITS1, 5.8S rRNA gene, ITS2, 28S rRNA gene". The stretch from base 183 to 336 matches the Rfam family "5.8S ribosomal RNA". The record is from RNAcentral. Lineage: Eukaryota; Fungi; Ascomycota; Pichiomycetes; Serinales; Debaryomycetaceae.
UCGUAACAAGGUUUCCGUAGGUGAACCUGCGGAAGGAUCAUUACUGAUUUGCUUAAUUGCACCACAUGUGUUUUUCUUUGAAACAAACUUGCUUUGGCGGUGGGCCCAGCCUGCCGCCAGAGGUCUAAACUUACAACCAAUUUUUUAUCAACUUGUCACACCAGAUUAUUACUAAUAGUCAAAACUUUCAACAACGGAUCUCUUGGUUCUCGCAUCGAUGAAGAACGCAGCGAAAUGCGAUACGUAAUAUGAAUUGCAGAUAUUCGUGAAUCAUCGAAUCUUUGAACGCACAUUGCGCCCUCUGGUAUUCCGGAGGGCAUGCCUGUUUGAGCGUCGUUUCUCCCUCAAACCGCUGGGUUUGGUGUUGAGCAAUACGACUUGGGUUUGCUUGAAAGACGGUAGUGGUAAGGCGGGAUCGCUUUGACAAUGGCUUAGGUCUAACCAAAAACAUUGCUUGCGGCGGUAACGUCUACCACGUAUAUCUUCAAACUUUGACCUCAAAUCAGGUAGGACUACCCGCUGAACCUAAGCAUAUCA